Non-coding RNA from Callithrix jacchus (white-tufted-ear marmoset), 1071 nucleotides. Lineage: Eukaryota; Metazoa; Chordata; Mammalia; Primates; Cebidae. The record is from RefSeq and is a predicted model, not a curated record.
AGGAAGGAUAUGCGCACCCUCACCUACCUCAACUCCAUGUUUCACAAUCGGCACCUCUUCAAGGACAAAGUGGUGCUAGACGUGGGCUCAGGCACUGGUAUCCUCUGCAUGUUCGCUGCCAAGGCUGGGGCCCGAAAGGUCAUCAGGAUCGAGUGUUCUAAUAUCUCUGAUUAUGCAGUGAAGAUCAUCAAAGCUAACAAGUUAGACCACGUGGUGACUAUCAUCAAGGGGAAGGUGGAGGAGGUGGAGCUCCCGGUGGAGAAGGUGGACAUCAUCAUCAGUGAGUGGAUGGGCUAUUGCCUCUUUUACAAGUCCAUGCUCAACACCAUGCUCUAUGCCCAAGACAAGUGGCUGGCGCCCGAUGACCUCAUCUUCCCAGACCGAGCUACGCUGUACGUGAUGGCCAUAGAGGACCGGCAGUACAAAGACUACAAGAUCCACUGGUGGGAGAAUGUGUAUGGCUUCGACAUGUCUUGCAUCAAAGAUGUGGCCAUCAAGCAGCCCUUAGUGGACAUGGUGGACCCAAAACAGCUGGUCACCAACCUUCACUUCAGCGUUCUGCCUGCAAGUGAAGCGGAAUGACUCCGUGCAUUCCCUGGUGGCCUACUUCAACAUCGAGUUCACAAACUGCCACAAGAGGACCGGCUUCUCCACCAGCCCGGAAUCCCCGUACACGCACUGGAAGCAGACGGUGUUCUACAUGGAGGACUACCUGACCAUGAAAAUAGGUGAGGAGAUCUUCGGCACCAUCGGCAUGUGGCCCAACGCCAAGAACCAUCGGGCCCUGGACUUCACCAUCGACUUGGACUUCAAGGGCCAGCUGUGUGAGCUGUCCUGCUCCACUGACUACUGGAUGCGCUGAGGCCUGGCUCUCCCCGCCCUACACCAGCCCAGGGGCUGACCGUUCCUAGGCGGUUUUGGGGCUCCCUUUUUCUCUCCCUCCCGAAGAAGAGGGUUUUAGGAGCCUGGGCUGGGGGGAUGGGGAGGGCACAUCGUGACUGUGUUUUUCAUAACUUAUGUUUUUAUAUGGUUGCAUUUACUCCAAUAAAUCCUCAGCUGGGAAAAAAAAAA